ACGUAGGGAGCGAGCGUUGUCCGGAAUCAUUGGGCGUAAAGAGCGCGUAGGUGGGUAAAUCAGUCUGCUGUGAAAGUCAAAGGCUCAACCUUUGAAAGCCGGUGGAUACUGCCAAUCUAGAGUACGGAAGAGGCGAGUGGAAUUCCUGGUGUAGCGGUGGAAUGCGCAGAUAUCAGGAGGAACACCAAUAGCGAAGGCAGCUCGCUGGGACGUUACUGACACUGAGGCGCGAAAGCGUGGGGAGCAAACAGGAUUAGAUACCCUGGUAGUCCACGCCGUAAACGAUGGGUACUAGGUGUGGGAGGUGUCGACUCCUCCCGUACCGCAGCUAACGCACUAAGUACCCCGCCUGGGGAGUACGGCCGCAAGGCUA
Molecule: ribosomal RNA, 373 nt
Filed under: uncultured bacterium
Lineage: Bacteria
Description: bacterial SSU rRNA
Rfam family: Bacterial small subunit ribosomal RNA
Source: RNAcentral